RNAcentral lists this ribosomal RNA (425 nucleotides) under uncultured bacterium. Its description in RNAcentral is "partial 16S ribosomal RNA". It matches the Rfam family "Bacterial small subunit ribosomal RNA", at positions 354 to 796 of the family's 1533-position model. The record is from RNAcentral.
GUUAGGAAUAUUGGACAAUGGGCGAAAGCCUGAUCCAGCCAUGCCGCGUGAACGAUGAAGGCCUUCGGGUUGUAAAGUUCUUUAGCCGAUGAUUAUAAUGACUGUAGUCGGAAAAUAAGCCCCGGCUAACUUCGUGCCAGCAGCCGCGGUAAUACGAAGGGGGCGAGCGUUAUUCGGAAUCACUGGGCGUAAAGCGUGCGUAGGCGGUUUUGUAAGUUAGGAGUGAAAGCCCAGGGCUCAACCUUGGAAUUUCUCUUAAAACUGCAAGGCUCGAAUCUCGGAGAGGAUAGCGGAAUUUCCAGUGUAGCAGUGAAAUGCGUAGAUAUUGGAAGGAACACCAGUGGCGUAAGCGGCUAUCUGGACGAGUAUUGACGCUGAGGCACGAAAGCGUGGGGAUCAAACAGGAUUAGAAACCCUUGUAGUCC